Long non-coding RNA from Antechinus flavipes (yellow-footed antechinus), 1048 nucleotides. RefSeq lists it as uncharacterized. The record is from RefSeq and is a predicted model, not a curated record. The transcript has 2 exons. Lineage: Eukaryota; Metazoa; Chordata; Mammalia; Dasyuromorphia; Dasyuridae.
UACUAAUGCACAAAUUAAUGUAUGCUGUGAAACGAUCCCAGAGUGGCAAAUUUUAUUAGCUAUGGCUCCAAAUUUUACACAGGGGACUCCAUUAAAGAUAACCCGACUAUUAGAUAAUUGACAGUGGAUUCUUGAAGAAAAGGUUUUUAAAGGUCCUCUUAAAGGACCAACUCUCUUUACAGAUGCAUCCAAACGGAAUAUUUGUGCUGUAUACUCUUGUGACUUAACUGUAAAGAGAGUACUCAGAAUUCCUUUUCAGUCCACUCAGCAGAAUGAAUUGUAUGCGAUCAUUCUAGCUCUUACUUAUUAUCCAGGAGGGAUAAAUAGAGUAUCUGAUUUAGCCUGUUCAGUAGGUGUGGUACAAAAAAUUGCCAUAGCCCAAAUAAAAUUUGUAACCUCUAAUAUAUAUCAGCUCUUUUAGGAACUUCAAGAGCAAGUGAGAAAGCAUCCAGAGAGAGAUGGAGCACACCUUGAAAGGAAGAAGACCCAAGAAACAUCUGGUGGUUCUAUUGCUGACUGUGCUCACCACUGAAUGAGCACGGCAGUUAUGGCGUUUGACUCAUGGACAUCAAAAAUUGUAGAACUUCAAAACUCUCAGGAAUCAUUGGAUUCUCUGAGACAUGAUAAGAUUGUUGUAGGAUUUCAAAAUCUGAUGGAAUCACUGGAUUCUCUGAGAUAUGAUAAGACUGUUGCAGGACUUCAAAAACUUGUGGGAAUCAUUGAAUCCCCGGAUAUGUGAAGCAAUGGACAAUAGAUUGAUUUUGGACUAUCUCUUGGCUACUGAAGAAGGUGUGUAUGUGACUGUUGUUUAUAUACCCUUCUUCUAGAACUUCUGGAAAUCUUUUACAACACUAUGUUGAUUCAUAUUGUUUGUUAUAUCACUACUUGCAUGUACAAUUGAUGUUUGUUGUACCACAUUGAGCCUGCACUGGUUGUGGGGAGAGUCAUCACUACUAGCCUGUGCAAUAUUGAUAUGUGCUUGUGUAAUACCUCCCAUGCUGAUGGGUUUGUGCAUACCUGUUUCUAAUAAAACCCUUCAGCCCAGAAA